Molecule: ribosomal RNA, 253 nt
Filed under: uncultured bacterium
Lineage: Bacteria
Description: partial 16S ribosomal RNA
Rfam family: Archaeal small subunit ribosomal RNA
Source: RNAcentral
UACCAGCACCCCGAGUGGUCGGGACGAUUAUUGGGCCUAAAGCAUCCGUAGCCGGUUCUACAAGUCUUCCGUUAAAUCCACCUGCUCAACAGUUGGGCUGCGGAGGAUACUAUAGAGCUAGGAGGCGGGAGAGGCAAGCGGUACUUAGUGGGUAGGGGUAAAAUCCGUUGAUCCAUUGAAGACCACCAGUGGCGAAGGCGGCCCCCUGGUUGGAUACUGACGCUGAUACGCGAAAGCGUGGGGAGCAAACAGG